Molecule: ribosomal RNA, 408 nt
Filed under: uncultured bacterium
Lineage: Bacteria
Description: partial 16S ribosomal RNA
Rfam family: Bacterial small subunit ribosomal RNA
Source: RNAcentral
GACGAACGCUGGCGGCGUGCCUAAUACAUGCAAGUAGAACGCAGUUGCGAACGGGUGAGUAACGCGUAGGUAACCUGCCUCAUAGCGGGGGAUAACUAUUGGAAACGAUAGCUAAUACCGCAUACUUUGAGAUUGACCUGCGUUGUAUUAGCUAGUUGGUGAGGUAAAGGCUCAACAAGGCGACGAUACAUAGUCGACCUGGUAGGGUGAUCGGCCACACUGGGACUGGGACACGGCCCAGAAACCUACGGGAGGCAGCAGUAGGGAAUCUUAGGCAAUGGACGGAAGGCUGGCCAAGCAACUCCGCGUGAGUGAAGAAGGUUUUCGGAUCGUAAAGCUCGGUUGUUAGAGAAGCGGUAGCUAACCAGAAAGGGACGGCUAACUACGUGCCAGCAGCCGCGGUAAUUC